RNAcentral lists this ribosomal RNA (465 nucleotides) under uncultured bacterium. RNAcentral describes it as "bacterial SSU rRNA". It matches the Rfam family "Bacterial small subunit ribosomal RNA", at positions 338 to 795 of the family's 1533-position model. The record is from RNAcentral.
CCUACGGGUUGCAGCAGUAGGGAAUCUUCCGCAAUGGACGAAAGUCUGACGGAGCAACGCCGCGUGAGUGAUGAAGGCUUUCGGGUCGUAAAACUCUGUUGUUAGGGAAGAACAAGUACGAGAGUAACUGCUCGUACCUUGACGGUACCUAACCAGAAAGCCACGGCUAACUACGUGCCAGCAGCCGCGGUAAUACGUAGGUGGCAAGCGUUAUCCGGAAUUAUUGGGCGUAGAGCGCGCGCAGGCGGUUUCUUAAGUCUGAUGUGAAAGCCCACGGCUCAACCGUGGAGGGUCAUUGGAAACUGGGGAACUUGAGUGCAGAAGAGAAAAGCGGAAUUCCACGUGUAGCGGUGAAAUGCGUAGAGAUGUGGAGGAACACCAGUGGCGAAGGCGGCUUUUUGGUCUGUAACUGACGCUGAGGCGCGAAAGCGUGGGGAGCAAACAGGAUUAGAUACCCCCGUAGUC